This 301-nucleotide ribosomal RNA is filed under the name uncultured bacterium. RNAcentral's name for it is "partial 16S ribosomal RNA". It matches the Rfam family "Bacterial small subunit ribosomal RNA", at positions 509 to 809 of the family's 1533-position model. The record is from RNAcentral.
CAGCCGCCGCGGGAAUACGAAGGGGGCUAGCGUUGCUCGGAAUGACUGGGCGUAAAGGGCGCGUAGGCGGUUUGUCGAGUUAGAUGUGAAAUUCCCGGGCUUAACCUGGGGACUGCAUUUGAUACUGGCAGGCUUGAGUGUGGAAGAGGGUCGUGGAAUUCCCAGUGUAGAGGUGAAAUUCGUAGAUAUUGGGAAGAACACCGGUGGCGAAGGCGGCGACCUGGUCCAUAACUGACGCUGAGGCGCGAAAGCGUGGGGAGCAAACAGGAUUAGAUACCCGUGUAGUCCCUGUCUCUUAUAA